RNAcentral lists this ribosomal RNA (403 nucleotides) under Fusobacteriota bacterium. Its description in RNAcentral is "Fusobacteria bacterium partial 16S ribosomal RNA". It matches the Rfam family "Bacterial small subunit ribosomal RNA", at positions 355 to 776 of the family's 1533-position model. Lineage: Bacteria; Fusobacteriati; Fusobacteriota. The record is from RNAcentral.
UGGGGAAUAUUGCACAAUGGAGGGAACUCUGAUGCAGCGACGCCGCGUGAACGAAGAAGGCUUUCGAGUCGUAAAGUUCUUUUAUAUGGGAAGAUAAUGACGGUACCAUAAGAAAAAGCCCCGGCUAACUACGUGCCAGCAGCCGCGGUAAUACGUAGGGGGCUAACGUUGUCCGGAAUCACUGGGCGUAAAGGGUUCGCAGGCGGAAAUGCAAGUCAGGUGUAAAAGGCAGUAGCUUAACUACUGUAAGCAUUUGAAACUGCAUAUCUUGAGAAGAGUAGAGGUAAGUGGAAUUUUUAGUGUAGCGGUGAAAUGCGUAGAUAUUAAAAAGAAUACCGGUGGCGAAGGCGACUUACUGGGCUCAUUCUGACGCUGAGGAACGAAAGCGUGGGUAGCAAACAGG